This 168-nucleotide ribosomal RNA is filed under the name uncultured bacterium. Its description in RNAcentral is "partial 16S rRNA". It matches the Rfam family "Bacterial small subunit ribosomal RNA", at positions 352 to 511 of the family's 1533-position model. The record is from RNAcentral.
CAGUAGGGAAUCUUCGGCAAUGGACGAAAGUCUGACCGAGCAACGCCGCGUGAGUGAAGAAGAUUUUCGGAUCGUAAAACUCUGUUGGUAGAGAAGAACGUUGGUGAGAGUGGAAAGCUCAUCAAGUGACGGUAACUACCCAGAAAGGGACGGCUAACUACGUGCCCG